CCGGGGAAACCCGGAUUAAUACCGCAUACGUCCUACGGGAGAAAGCAGGGGACCUUCGGGCCUUGCGCUAUCAGAUGAGCCUAGGUCGGAUUAGCUAGUUGGUGAGGUAAUGGCUCACCAAGGCGACGAUCCGUAACUGGUCUGAGAGGAUGAUCAGUCACACUGGAACUGAGACACGGUCCAGACUCCUACGGGAGGCAGCAGUGGGGAAUAUUGCACAAUGGGCGCAAGCCUGAUGCAGCAACGCCGCGUGAGGGACGACG
This 263-nucleotide ribosomal RNA is filed under the name Chloropicon mariensis. RNAcentral describes it as "partial Bacterial small subunit ribosomal RNA". It matches the Rfam family "Bacterial small subunit ribosomal RNA", at positions 148 to 413 of the family's 1533-position model. Lineage: Eukaryota; Viridiplantae; Chlorophyta; Chloropicophyceae; Chloropicales; Chloropicaceae. The record is from RNAcentral.